Molecule: long non-coding RNA, 883 nt
Organism: Megalobrama amblycephala (Wuchang bream)
Lineage: Eukaryota; Metazoa; Chordata; Actinopteri; Cypriniformes; Xenocyprididae
Exons: 4
Source: RefSeq, a predicted model, not a curated record
CACAGAGCUCUGCUGUUGACGACACUUUGCUCUGCGGUUUUUGAACCAAACCUGUGAAAUGAUAUCAAAGCGACACAUGCUUAGACUGCUCAGAAACCAGCCCAAAGUCCUUCAUUGUGAUACAGAAAGUGAUGAAGGGAAUUUGAUCUGAAACAAAGUAACUGAGAAAUGAAGGAGUGUGAACAGUUUCCUCUGAGAGAAUUAAUGUGUUUUUAUCUGAAAUCUGUCGUCUCUGAGCGGACGCUCUCAUCAGAACCGGCCCAAACACCGUCAGCGGAGGCGAGUAAGACUCUCUGAUCCUGCUGCUGCCCGAUUGUCUCUCGUCCCGCUGCGCUGGCGCCGCCAGAGAGACUCGAGUGAGAUCAGACGGUGAUUGUGCCAGCGUAGCGUCUUUCCUCUUCAUCUGUCUCUGUACGGCUGCUGUGAGUAUGUGCUGGACCUCUGUCUCACUACACACUAACAUAGAAAACAGAAACUGUACUGAUAUACAUGUUUGUCAGGUUAAGUGUGAAGUGGAUUAGUUAUAUGUUCACAUAAUUGCUUUUGUACAGACUGAGCCAAAAUCACAAUAACAGGAUCAACACUGACCUCUGUGUGUGAUUGAUCAGUACUGCAGUCUGAGGGAACCAAAACAAGAACUCUUUAAAUAUGAAAUGAUAGUGAAAAAAGUCUAAUUUUCUGAAAUGCAACAGUUUAUUGAACCUUUAGACAAAAUAUCAAAAAUAAAAUAAAGGUUUGCAUAUGUGAUUUUUGUUGAGGAUCAUAAGAGACUAUAGAAAUUGGCAUAUCAGAUACACUAAAGUAGGAUUUAUAGGCAGAUUAAUGCCAUCUGGUGGGAGAAGAAAAUCAUAUUAUGUAAUACCAUGGUGUGUGUGUGUGUGUG